AUCACUUCUUGGUACUUUGGCUAAGAUCAGGUAUAGUAUCUGUUAUCAGUUUACUAUCCGAUACGCCCACUCUCUGGAGCCCAUUUAUUGAAUGGAAUUUUAAAAUAGGGAGAUAGAAGAAAAACUAUCUGUCCACUCCACGCAUUGACCUGGUAGUGCAGUACUCCCAAGACUGGUACACAACAU
This is a small nuclear RNA of Pseudophryne corroboree (corroboree frog), 186 nucleotides long. RefSeq annotates it as U2 spliceosomal RNA. The record is from RefSeq and is a predicted model, not a curated record. The transcript has a single exon. NCBI's taxonomy places the organism in Eukaryota, Metazoa, Chordata, Amphibia, Anura, Myobatrachidae.